AUUUCUCUUUCUUUCAUGUUCUGUUCUCCUUUCUCCUGCUGCUGUUGAGGUGUUACAGGUCAUGCAAGGAUGCAACCUUUUGCAGAAAAUGCAGAGCUCAUCAAUGUUUAUCCACCACCGCUGGAGCGCAUUAAAGGUGUGAGACAAGCUCUAAUGGGGAAGCAGAGAACAGUGAAGAUGUGAGAUGUGUGCCAGACAAACUGGCAUCAAGUCCUCAUUUAAGCUUCCUCGAGUAACAGAGAGAAACUCUAUGAUUUAGUUGACUCGACAUGAUAGAUGAAUUCUUUCCUCUAUCUUGGAAAGGUAGUACAAGACAUUCCAGAUACAUAGGCUACUCACCACAAUACUUUGGAGUUUUGUUAGCAACAUGAUGCUAAUAUUCCAUGACAACUAACCUGGUCCAUGUUCACAUAAACAAAUACUGUUUCUGGACUUGUACAGACCUAUGCUGUGUGUCUGCAAAUACCAGGCUGUGUAGACAAGAAGAUGCACAAACAGUGUGGCCCAUUGCAUUUAUAAUGCAUAGCUGCUUUGUUCAUAGACUCUUAAUGCCAGUGAAGUAAGAUCAUCUGGAAACAGAGACUCUUUUCGUGAAUGUAGGGAACAUGACCUACAAGUUAGGGCAAAGGAACACUGCUGUUUGUGUGUAGAAACAAGAGACACCAGAGACACUGAUCCAGUGCAGUGUGGUCAAAUGCACUCAAACAAAUACUUUAUUGGCUGUGUGUGUACCUGUAAGGUAAACCUAGUAAAAGUAGAGGUGGCAAGUGCUGAGUACUAAAAGGUUAGUUGUAACAUUGGAAUGGAAUUAAAUGUCUGCUUUUAGAUCCUCCAUAGAUCAUAUUUUUGUCUGUGGGAAAAAGAUUGAGAUGUCAACUUCUACAGGGAGAUUUUGGCAGAGGGAUUUGAGGCAAGGGGUUAUAAUAAUGGAAUGAAAUUAGAUAGAUUCCUACAAUUUACAGAAAGAUUCUUCCUAUAACUCAAAUACUGCACCAAAUGACAUUGUUGAUGCCCUUAAAUAA
Molecule: non-coding RNA, 1022 nt
Organism: Musa acuminata subsp. malaccensis (wild Malaysian banana)
Lineage: Eukaryota; Viridiplantae; Streptophyta; Magnoliopsida; Zingiberales; Musaceae
Source: RefSeq, a predicted model, not a curated record